CACGUAUUUAGCCGUCACUUCUUCUGUUGGUACCGUCAUUUUUUUCUUCCCAACUGAAAGCACCUUACAUUCCGAAAAACUUCAUCGUGCACACAGAAUUGCUGGAUCAGACUCUUGGUCCAUUGUCCAAUAUUCCCCACUGCUGCCUCCCGUAGGAGUGAGGGCCGUGUCUCAGUCCCCUUGUGGCCGAUCACCCUCUCAGGCCGGCUACCCAUCAUCGCCUUGGUGAGCCGUUACCUCUCCAACUAGCUAAUGGGACGCAAAGCUCUCUCACAGCGCAUAUAGCUUUCAUAAUCCUAAGAUGACCCUAAAAUCAUAAUAUCAGGUAUUAGCUAUUCGUUUCCAAAUUGUUGUCCCUAUCUGUGAGGCAAGUUCUUUACGCGUUACUCACCCGUCCGCCUACCCAAACCGAAGUUCAAGUUGACUUGCAUGUACGUUAAGCUAUUCUGUCAGUCGUUCAUUCCUAGAGCCAAGGUACUACAAACGUCU
Molecule: ribosomal RNA, 489 nt
Filed under: uncultured Fusobacterium sp.
Lineage: Bacteria; Fusobacteriati; Fusobacteriota; Fusobacteriia; Fusobacteriales; Fusobacteriaceae
Description: partial 16S ribosomal RNA
Source: RNAcentral